This 391-nucleotide ribosomal RNA is filed under the name uncultured bacterium. RNAcentral's name for it is "bacterial SSU rRNA". It matches the Rfam family "Bacterial small subunit ribosomal RNA", at positions 28 to 420 of the family's 1533-position model. The record is from RNAcentral.
GACGAACGCUGGCGGCGUGCUUAACACAUGCAAGUCGAGCGGUAAGGCCCUUUCGGGGGUACACGAGCGGCGAACGGGUGAGUAACACGUGGGUGACCUGCCCUUAGCUCUGGGAUAAGCCUGGGAAACUGGGUCUAAUACCGGAUAUGACUCCAUGACGCAUGUUGUGGGGUGGAAAGCCUUGUGCGGCUAGGGAUGGGCCCGCGGCCUAUCAGCUUGUUGGUGGGGUGAUGGCCUACCAAGGCGACGACGGGUAGCCGGCCUGAGAGGGCGACCGGCCACACUGGGACUGAGACACGGCCCAGACUCCUACGGGAGGCAGCAGUGGGGAAUCUUGCGCAAUGCGCGAAAGCGUGACGCAGCAACGCCGCGUGCGGGAAGACGGCCUCGG